Molecule: ribosomal RNA, 497 nt
Filed under: uncultured bacterium
Lineage: Bacteria
Description: partial 16S ribosomal RNA
Rfam family: Bacterial small subunit ribosomal RNA
Source: RNAcentral
GAUGAACGCUGGCGGCGUGCCUAAUACAUGCCAGUCGAGCGAACAGAUGAGGAGCUUGCUCCUCUGACGUUAGCGGCGGACGGGUGAGUAACACGUGGAUAACCUACCUAUAAGACUGGGAUAACUUCGGGAAACCGGAGCUAAUACCGGAUAAUAUAUUGAACCGCAUGGUUCAAUAGUGAAAGACCGUUUUGCUGUCACUUGUAGAUGGAUCCGCGCCGCAUUAGCUAGUUGGUAAGGUAAAGGCUUACCAAGGCAACGAUGCGUAGCCGACCUGAGAGGGUGAUCGGCCACACUGGAACUGAGACACGGUCCAGACUCCUACGGGAGGCAGCAGUAGGGAAUCUUCCGCAAUGGGCGAAAGCCUGACGGAGCAACGCCGCGUGAGUGAUGAAGGUCUUCGGAUCGUAAAACUCUGUUAUUAGGGAAGAACAAAUGUGUAAGUAACUAUGCACGUCUUGACGGUACCUAAUCAGAAAGCCACGGCUAACUACGUG